GUGCAUUUGUCACCAUGAUUAUUUCCUAUCUCUUGGUUCAAACAUAAAUCAUAAACCACUUCCACCCAUAUUUCACUCUGCUUUCCACAAUCAUAACCAGGACUGUCAGUCUUUUAACCAGCUCCUCUCAGGUUGUAAUUUCAGUUUGUCUGCUGCCGUACCACAUCUUCAAACCCAUCUUCCUGUCUCGGACCCAUGACCUACGUCAGCUGACAUAUUCACCUGGUCCCAACACCUGCAGCCACUGUCAUCCACUCUCUUCCUUGAUCGAGCUGAAGAACUGCCUGUUUCUUCUGGCUGCACUGAGAGGUUCAACGGACCCUCUGAUGUACUUCCUGUUAGACAAGACCUUCCGUCAUCAAACCCUCAGACUUUUUGGGUAUGACCAGAACAACGCUGGAAACCAACAGACGUGUUCGCAAACAGGAAGUACCACUAAGAGGACUGGGCAGCUGCAGGAUGGAAAUGUGGCCACCGCUACCGCAGACACAAGUCAAGGAAGUGUUUUGUAGGCGGCAAAUGUUUCUUUUAAAAGCAGCCUGAAAAUGUAUAGUGUUCAGAAAUAUAUGAAUCGCAGUGUCUUCUUGUGAUGUCACUCUGUCUUUUACAAAACCCAAAAUAAAAAAAUGAAACAAUC
Molecule: non-coding RNA, 637 nt
Organism: Epinephelus lanceolatus (giant grouper)
Lineage: Eukaryota; Metazoa; Chordata; Actinopteri; Perciformes; Serranidae
Source: RefSeq, a predicted model, not a curated record